RNAcentral lists this ribosomal RNA (301 nucleotides) under uncultured bacterium. Its description in RNAcentral is "partial 16S ribosomal RNA". It matches the Rfam family "Bacterial small subunit ribosomal RNA", at positions 509 to 807 of the family's 1533-position model. The record is from RNAcentral.
CAGCCGCCACGGUAAUACGAGGGGGGCAAGCGUUGUUCGGAAUUAUUGGGCGUAAAGGGCGCGUAGGCGGUUUGGCAAGUUUGGUGUGAAAUCUUCGGGCUCAACUCGAAGUCUGCAUCGAAAACUGCCGGGCUUGAGUAUGGGAGAGGUGAGUGGAAUUUCCGGUGUAGCGGUGAAAUGCGUAGAUAUCGGAAGGAACACCUGUGGCGAAAGCGGCUCACUGGACCAUUACUGACGCUGAGGCGCGAAAGCUAGGGGAGCAAACAGGAUUAGAUACCCGCGUAGUCCCUGUCUCUUAUAC